RNAcentral lists this long non-coding RNA (872 nucleotides) under Marmota monax (woodchuck). Lineage: Eukaryota; Metazoa; Chordata; Mammalia; Rodentia; Sciuridae. The record is from RNAcentral.
UUCAAUACACACCUCAAUGGUAUUGAACAAGCUCUAUUUAGGCAAAUUACCUUACCUUAUUCUUCCUCAGUUUCCUCACUGUCCAGUGGAGGAAGUUAAUCUUCAUAGGGAUUAAGAGAGAUUGACUCAAGAUCAUCAAACCCCAAAGUGGCAGAGAUUGAUGGGGAUUUUGAUUCAAAUGUGUAUGAUUUCACCACCCCUCACAACUUUCCUGAAAACUUAAGUUACUACGUAAUAAAAAAGGUUAACAGGAGUGAAAGUACUCACACAAUCUCAUAAAAAAACAUAAAUACUAAUGAAUCAUCCAAGUCCAGCGCAAAAUGGUCUCAUCUUUAAACUUAGAUUCUUUAAAUGUCAGUUUCCACUUCAAGAACCAUCGCUGGGUAGGUUCCCAGACAAACAGAGCUGAAGAACUAGAAUUGCUUUGAAAGUAUAUGCACUUCACAACCUGUACUACCUGUGGAAUGCUCCUGUGUAGAGCAUCCCUCUAAUCUUUUGACAUGACAUGUACCCUGCUGUAGGUAGUCUGAGCUGCGAUUCACAGUUGUUAUUUGUACUUAUGUCUGGCUGAAUGGUAACUGGGAAAUAAAAAUCCAAACUAUCUACAGUGUACAUGUGUGUGGUUGUGUGAUUCUCAGUAUAGAAGGUGGGUAGCAAUGGGUUAAGGAUCAUGACUGGCUGUGGAUUUACCUGGGGAGAAAUAGGUUUUUAAGGAUGAUGAGCAAGCAAUUUUAUCCAUGUGAUCAAUUUUAUUUUAUUUUAUUUCUCUUCUUAUUCUUCCAUUGUCCCUGAAUUAAAAUAUUUUCCUUUCUAAUGGAUAAUUCUCCUGCCAUUUUAUUUUGGACUGAUAAAAAUCCACUUGCUUCCUUUAU